UACGGGGGGGGCAAGCGUUGUUCGGAAUUACUGGGCGUAAAGGGCGCGUAGGCGGCUCGUUAAGUCGGGUGUGAAAACUCUGGGCUCAACCCAGAGCCUGCAUUCGAAACUGACGAGCUAGAGUUCUGGAGGGGAAAGCGGAAUUCCUGGUGUAGCGGUGAAAUGCGUAGAUAUCAGGAGGAACACCGGUGGCGAAGGCGGCUUUCUGGACAGAAACUGACGCUGAGGCGCGAAAGCUAGGGGAGCAAACAGG
Molecule: ribosomal RNA, 253 nt
Filed under: uncultured bacterium
Lineage: Bacteria
Description: partial 16S ribosomal RNA
Rfam family: Bacterial small subunit ribosomal RNA
Source: RNAcentral